CGGAGCUGCCACAACCCAUCUUCCCACAACUCGGAACUUGGAAAAAGGAACCCAGGACACGACUUUGCUUUUCUUUUGGACCUAGUUGAUACAAGUUAACAGGAUAUGCUUCUGGCCUGUUUCUGGAUUCUAAGGGUAGAACCAGCAUAAAACUAGUCAGUCCAAGUAUUUCUAAAGAUCCACAGACACAGUUCUCCUGGAUUUGGGAAGCCUAGAGAUAUUAGCACAAUAAUUAAGGCCCAACAACUUUUAAAAGCCUUUCCACUGCACAGUGAAAGAAAACCACAAACUCCUUGUUUAAUAAGUGGGAUCACGUGCUUUUAACACGAGGAAAAGGUCAAUCUGAAGCAACUGAUAUGGAACUGCCAGAGUAGGAGUUGAAAAUCUUCCUAAACUGCUGGAGGAUACACCUCUGAUAGCUUGAGACAAAUAUCCUCUUGAUCAUUGUUUCACCAUAUUUGUCUUUGCUCAUGGAGAACCAUUUUGAUCCGUGGUUUAGCCUCCCAGGUGAUUGAACAAUACCGGUGAUCUGAGGCAGACCCUCUGUGACGGAUAACAGGAAAGAAUAUUGAUUGAACAUCUACUCAAGAACUGCAAAACAGAGAUUACCUGACCUAAAGAUGAAUCCAGGAUUCGGUGGUGCCUGUUCCAGGAACCUUUAGUGUGAAGGAUCCUCCAGAUGUGCCUUUUGCCUUCCACCAUGAUUGUGAGGCCUCCCCAGCCACACAGAACUGAGUCCAUUCUCAAUUUUCUGUGCAAAUUGGGGAAGGCUGUUGAUAAUCGGUGGAUGCUAUAGUGCCCAUGGAAAGACUCUAGUCUGAAGAUACCAGUCUCUCCCUCCCAAGAUCACCUCCCCUGACCAACCUUCUGCACUCCUGACAGAUACAAGGGAGCAAGCAAGUUGCACCCAACCUAAUAGUAAAUUGCAGGGACAUUUCCAUUCUAAGGAAGGAAUUUUUGUGUGUGUUGCAACUCAGCUUCUGCUCUGGCAUUUUGCUGUGCAUUUAUAUUGCCAAUCAUGUUGGAGAGUCCAUGUGGUGAUUUCUGAAAACGAGAUGUGAGAAAGAAGAGGAUAAUUUAAGUCUAGACCUACAGAUUGUGCUGAUAAAGUGAUGAAGAACUACAAUCUUCU
This 1132-nucleotide long non-coding RNA is filed under the name Homo sapiens (human). Its description in RNAcentral is "PRKCQ antisense RNA 1". The record is from RNAcentral. Lineage: Eukaryota; Metazoa; Chordata; Mammalia; Primates; Hominidae.